UUUACUAUAAAAUCCUGUUGAUCCGCUCCCUGUGGACGUUGUGCCUGUGAAGCGUCUCUGUGCACAUGCAUACGUCAAACUACGGUGUUGUGUGUCUGGCUUUGGAAACUGUAUGUUUCAUUGCUAUCAGGUUCUGCCUCAUUUUCUCUGUGCUGCGCUACUGAGUCCACAAAGGACGGAACAGUUCUGUCCGCAGAUUGAGUGUUGUGCGUUUGUGUUGUUUCCGUAAGUGAUUGGGUGUUCACGGCGUGGCAGGUGCCGGUUGUGGCGGUGUAGCAUUCUGGUUGCCGACAUACCCAGCUGAUGUGGUGAAGAGUCGACACCAGGUCAAUGUUGCCGCCGGCAAGCCAAAGAAUUUCUUCAGCGGGUUCAUGAAAAUAGGGCACAUAUGUACAUGGAAGGCAUGCGUGGUGUGUAUCGGGGGAUAACGCCUUCCCAGCCAGCGGCGCUCUGUUCUACUCCGUUGAGCUAACCCGUAGGAUCUCGGAAUGAAGGAACUACAUGUAGUGUGUGUGUGCGCGUGCGUGCGUGCGUGGUGCUGGUGUCCCCGCUAGACUCGUCCGCAUUAUUCAAGCUUUUCACGGCAACAUGAAGGCAUCACUGGUACUGGCGGGAGCUGACGUUGACGCUGUUGAUGUGAACAAUGGUUUGCGUCAAGGAUGCUGCAUGGCACCAGUCUUGUUUUUAACAUAUCUACAUAUGGGCUAUGUUCCGGCAAUGGUACAAGGCGAUUGCAGACAUUCCGGAUAUCGGGUUUCCUGUGGCGAUGAAUGCUGGUGGUCGGCUACUAUUCCGCAGGUCACGUACGGACGUUGUGAAACGGCACGACGACUGCCAGUUUGCUGACGACUCUGCACUGGUUGCCACCUCCCAUGAGUGUGCGCAACAGGCUCCGACUGCUUUUGUGCGUGUUGCUGGUGCAUUUGGCCUGAAGGUGAAUCUCGCAAAGACCAAGGUCAUGCCGGUCGGCUACGGACUUACAGCACAUGACCGCUUGCCUUUGAUGGUAGUGGGUGAUAUUAUUGAGAGCGGGGCUGACUUCAAGUAUCUCGGCUCCAGUACAUACGGAUGGUCGAUUGGCUCAUAAUAUCAAGUCACACAUUGCUGGAGCAUCGAGGGCCUUUGGGGUUCCAGGCCAUGCACAGCUAUCUGAUUUGAUCUCCUUUCUUUCUAGGACCUACCAGAUAGCAACGAUUUAAAGGUUUUUCCUGUUCUAACACUUACUCAUUUUUUUUCCUUUUACCAGUAUUUAUUUCUUCUAGACCCUGUCAAUGCUUGGGAUUGUCCCUGCAGCACAGUAUUGUUUUUUUGUUUUGUUUUGUUUUGUGUGUAAGGCAGUCUUUUCUGCCUGUU
Long non-coding RNA from Sycon ciliatum, 1353 nucleotides. RefSeq lists it as uncharacterized. The transcript has 3 exons. NCBI's taxonomy places the organism in Eukaryota, Metazoa, Porifera, Calcarea, Leucosolenida, Sycettidae. The record is from RefSeq and is a predicted model, not a curated record.